RNAcentral lists this ribosomal RNA (460 nucleotides) under uncultured bacterium. RNAcentral's name for it is "partial 16S ribosomal RNA". It matches the Rfam family "Bacterial small subunit ribosomal RNA", at positions 338 to 795 of the family's 1533-position model. The record is from RNAcentral.
CCUACGGGGGGCAGCAGUGAGGAAUAUUGGUCAAUGGACGAGAGUCUGAACCAGCCAAGUAGCGUGAAGGAUGACUGCCCUAUGGGUUGUAAACUUCUUUUAUAUGGGAAUAAAAUGUUCCACGUGUGGGAUUUUGUAUGUACCAUAUGAAUAAGGCUCGGCUAACUCCGUGCCAGCAGCCGCGGUAAUACGGAGGAUCCGAGCGUUAUCCGGAUUUAUUGGGUUUAAAGGGAGCGUAGGUGGAUUGUUAAGUCAGUUGUGAAAGUUUGCGGCUCAACCGUAAAAUUGCAGUUGAAACUGGCAGUCUUGAGUACAGUAGAGGUGGGCGGAAUUCGUGGUGUAGCGGUGAAAUGCUUAGAUAUCACGAAGAACUCCGAUUGCGAAGGCAGUUCACUGGACUGCAACUGACACUGAGGCUCGAAAGUGUGGGUAUCAAACAGGAUUAGAUACCCCAGUAGUC